UCAGGACGAACGUUGGCGGCGUGCUUAAUACAUGCAAGUNGAGCGAAUCUUUAGGAGCUUGNUCCUGAAGAUUAGCGGCGGACGGNUGAGUAAAAUGUGGGCAACCUGCCNGUAAGACUGGGAUAACUUUCGGGAAACCGGAGCUAAUACCGGAUAAUCCUUUCCUUCUCAUGAGGGAAAGCUGAAAGUCGGUUUCGGCUGACACUUACAGAUGGGCCCGCGGCGCAUUAGNUAGUUGGUGAGGUAACGGCUCACCAAGGCGACGAUGCGUAGCCGACCUGAGAGGGUGAUCGGCCACACUGGGACUGAGACACGGCCCAGACUCCUACGGGAGGCAGCAGUAGGGAAUCUUCCGCAAUGGACGAAAGUCUGACGGAGCAACGCCGCGUGAGCGAUGAAGGCCUUCGGGUCGUAAAGCUCUGUUGUUAGGGAAGAACAAGUAUCGGAGUAACUGCCGGUACCUUGACGGUACCUAACCAGAAAGCCACGGCUAACUACGUGCCAGCAGCCGCGGUAAUACGUAGGUGGCAAGCGUUGUCCGGAAUUAUUGGGCGUAAAGCGCGCGCAGGCGGUCCUUUAAGUCUGAUGUGAAAGCCCACGGCUCAACCGUGGAGGGUCAUUGGAAACUGGGGGACUUGAGUGCAGAAGAGGAAAGCGGAAUUCCACGUGUAGCGGUGAAAUGCGUAGAGAUGUGGAGGAACACCAGUGGCGAAGGCGGCUUUCUGGUCUGUAACUGACNCNNAGGCGGGNAAGCGUGGGA
RNAcentral lists this ribosomal RNA (760 nucleotides) under soil bacterium is147. RNAcentral's name for it is "bacterial SSU rRNA". It matches the Rfam family "Bacterial small subunit ribosomal RNA", at positions 24 to 766 of the family's 1533-position model. The record is from RNAcentral.